UUGUCUUACUCAGAAAGUAGGAAAAUCAGCAUUAGAGAACUGAAGUUUUGCUCCCUGAGUGAUAAAGACUAAAGGAAAAAUUAUUAACUCUAAUGUCCUUCUGUUAGUCAGGGGAGCUAGAGGAGUUAAUUCUGAACACUAAGUGAUGAUAACUAACAUAAAAAUAGCAUCUCAAUUUUUUUUCCAUGGAAUUUAUAUUCACAGAGUUCCUGGAAUAAAUUAAAAGGUGUGCUGCCUUGAACAAUGAACAAGAAGGCCCUCACUUGGUGUUUAGUGAAUGGGAAUAGUUUAUUCUGGGUACUUCAUUUUAUCAUGUGGCUUAUUUAAAACCAAGUAUGUGAAUUAAGGUUUUGUCUAAUGAUUACAGUAAUAUACUUCAGCUGAGAAAGCAGUUAACAAAUGAUACUGCAAGCUGGAUGAAUUCCUAUAAUGUAUUACUGUAACAGCAGAGAUCAUAUAGUUGCAAACAGGAAGGGGAAUAUAAGAUGCUGCUGACUAUAUGUUGUCAUGCUUUAUUAUAAAAAGAAGGAAGAAGUAUAAAGCAAGAAGAUCAUUGAGUUUUUUUUAGAAAAUGACCAGUAUACUUAAAUGAGAAAGAACUAUUGAUAGAUUCAGAGCAGGUUUUAGCAUUGGGGGUAUAAAUUAUAUCAGAGGCAGCCACUGUGAUUUUGUUUCAGUACCUUCUAUAAAUUUGGGCUUCUUUUUGCAAUAGGUAACACAGUUUAUUUUCUCCUCU
Molecule: long non-coding RNA, 736 nt
Filed under: Bos taurus (domestic cattle)
Lineage: Eukaryota; Metazoa; Chordata; Mammalia; Artiodactyla; Bovidae
Description: long non-coding RNA NONBTAT017385
Source: RNAcentral